UGAGGUUUCGAGAGGGGCAUGUGGGCAACUU
This 31-nucleotide non-coding RNA is filed under the name Rattus norvegicus (Norway rat). The record is from RNAcentral. Lineage: Eukaryota; Metazoa; Chordata; Mammalia; Rodentia; Muridae.